Molecule: unclassified non-coding RNA, 352 nt
Filed under: soil metagenome
Description: partial contains 5.8S ribosomal RNA, internal transcribed spacer 2, and large subunit ribosomal RNA
Rfam family: 5.8S ribosomal RNA (bases 1-120)
Source: RNAcentral
GAUGAAGAACGCAGCGAAAUGCGAUAAGUAAUGUGAAUUGCAGAAUUCAGUGAAUCAUCGAAUCUUUGAACGCACAUUGCGCCCGCCAGUAUUCUGGCGGGCAUGCCUGCUCGAGCGUCAUUACAACCCUCAGGCCCCCGGGCCUGGCGUUGGGGAUCGGCAGAAGCCCCCUGUGGGCACACGCCGUCCCUCAAAUACAGUGGCGGUCCCGCCGCAGCUUCCAUUGCGUAGUAGCUAACACCUCGCAACUGGAGAGCGGCGCGGCCAUGCCGUAAAACACCCAACUUCUGAAUGUUGACCUCGAAUCAGGUAGGAAUACCCGCUGAACUUAAGCAUAUCAAUAAGCGGAGGA